GCGAGGGGGGAGUGUCAAUGGCCUAACGGCUGAACCAGCAACUUGGGGGAAUGUAUUUCGAUUAUGUCGUAUAAAGUUCUAGAUARAUUGAUGAUAAUGACAAUUUUCUAUCUAUAUGUCUUGACCAAAUCUUGUGCCAGCAGUCGCGGCAAGACAAGAGAGACUAGUGUUAUUCAUCUUUAUUAGGUUUAAAGGGUACCUAGACUGUAAAUUUAGCCCCUAAAGGGUACGUAUUUGCUAGAGUUAUUUGUGAGAGGAAUAUAGCAGAACUAUUGGUGUAAAGAUGAAAUUUUUUAAUACCAAUAUAACGGGUAACGGCGAAGGCAACCCUUUAUGUGAUAACUGACGUUGAGGGACGAAGGCUCAGGGAGCGAAGAGGAUUAGAUACCCCCGUAGUCUGGGCAGACAAUUAUGAGUGUCAUAGACUUAAGGCCAACUAGUAAAACUAAAUUGCUUUUUUUUUGCUAGUCGGUGGGGUCUAUAAAUGAAAAUGUAAGCACUCCACCUCAAGAGUAAUGUGGCAACGCAGGAACUGAAAUCAUUAGACCGUUUCUGAAACCAGUAGUGAAGUAUGUUAUUUAAUUCGAUGAUCCUCGAAAAACCUUACCAUAAUUUGUAUGUCAAUCUUAUAUUGAUACAAGCGUUGCAUGGCUGUCUUCAGUUAAUGUCGUGAGAUUUGGUUAGUUCCAUUAAAUUAACGUAAACCCUUGCUUUAUUUAGAUUUAUAUAGCAGCUCGCCGCGACAAUUGGGUGUGACAACAGGGACUAAGACAAGUCAUCAUGGCCUGAAUAUUAUGGGC
RNAcentral lists this ribosomal RNA (800 nucleotides) under Abrothallus parmeliarum. RNAcentral describes it as "mitochondrial SSU rRNA". It matches the Rfam family "Bacterial small subunit ribosomal RNA", at positions 351 to 1214 of the family's 1533-position model. Lineage: Eukaryota; Fungi; Ascomycota; Dothideomycetes; Abrothallales; Abrothallaceae. The record is from RNAcentral.